CAGUUAGUCUAUCUGACCUGUGCUUAUGCUUCAGGGGUCUGUGUGUGGUGAAUAGGUUGCCUAUGAGAUCAGCUUCUGCUCAAAGCAAGUCUUAUCUAGGAUAAAUGCAGCUGAAGGGCAGGAACCAAGGUCGUUUAAAAGCAUUGGAGAUCAGUGGUGGAAAGACAUUGGGGACAGAAAAGAAGAAAGGAGAAUAGAAGCCAGUGAAGUGGCUUCUUGUGCACGCCUCUACCGAAGCAUGCCAUUCUGCCCUGCCAGGCUCGGCCCUUGUCUUCCUCUCUCUGGAUUCUAGGGCUAUGAUGAGUCAAUAUUCGUUGACAAAUUAACUGGCUUGGGAAUCACCUGGGAAACACACCUCUGGGCAUGUCUGUGAGGGUCUGAAGAGGUUUUAAAUGGAAGAGGAGGAAACACCAACCCUGAAGGAACUAACCUCCCAAAGGGAACAAAGCCAGGAUCCUGUAAACAAACAAACGGGCUAAUUACAGGUUAGCUAUAGCUGAGAUCUGAAGUGUUUCCAAAAGGCCUUUGUGUUGCUUGGAACUAGGAGAAGGCAGAUGAACCCAGAGGGCAAAAGCAGUCAUGUUCAGAAACCUCUGGAACGCUCAAGGUCACCAACAUGCUAGUGUGGCCCAGUCCUCUGUGUCCUCUUUUCUGUGAGCCCUGAAGAUAUCCUUCUCACAACUGCACACAGCUGGCCUUCCUGGCCUUUGGCUCUUGGUGUGUGAAAGUCUACAGAACUGAAGAGCUCCAGCCCUCAACAUGACAGAAUGUCUGGAACCCGAGGGCAGGAUUGUUUGUCACUCAGGCAUCAGAAGACAAAGGCAACUGGAUGGUUUUGAAGCUCAUCAAUUUGAAAAGCACCGGUCCUGGGCACGGUGGUGCACGCCUUUAAUUCCGGCACUUGGAAGGUGGAAGCAGUAGGACCAGUUUUCAAUGGCGGCUUUGUGAGGAAUUGUGAAGGAUGUCGCAAGUACCCUACUAUUAAUUAUGAAGUGCUGUAAUUUGUGGAC
RNAcentral lists this long non-coding RNA (1010 nucleotides) under Mus musculus (house mouse). RNAcentral describes it as "lincRNA-EC16". Lineage: Eukaryota; Metazoa; Chordata; Mammalia; Rodentia; Muridae. The record is from RNAcentral.